AGAAGCAUCUAUUUUUUACUCUCUCUUUCUCUCACCCAUCUGUCUUUACCAUCUGUUUGGUCGCCGGGAAAAUGCAGUCAUACGAAAUGAAAAUGGAAUUGUUUAAACGGGUAGUAAUUGCUUUCAGGAAUCUGAAGAACUGUAUGACUUAAUAGCCAAGAUGAUCGUCUGUGCUGAUUAGUUAUGAUGAUUCAAUUUGUAGAAAAAUAUUUGAAGUUUUUGAAAGUUGAACAGAAGCUUAAUGUCCGCUUAAUUUCUCAAAAGUUAGCUUAAACUCGGAGUUCAAUCAGGUCGAAAGUUUGUUUCUAUUAGUAAAAUUAUCCUUUCAUUUCAUUACUACAAUAAGAUUACACAAUGAUGUCUUAUAUACUAGUUACUCACUAGUAUUAGAUAACUAACUAAUUACACCUUCAUCAACUAAUCACUCACUAAUUAUAAAACUACCAUAACAACCUUAACUAUUUACAGUUUUACCCUUAUUAUCCCCCCUAAAACCUAACUGAGGUAGCCGAAGGGAGAGUUUGUCUCGGAGAAGAUGGAAUUUGUGCUUGGACAGAGCCUUGGUGCAGAUAUCAGCAACCUAAUCUUGAGUACACACAAACAGAACGUGAACUUGAUUAGCAAGCAUUUUUUUCCGAAUGUAGUGAUAAUCAAUCUCUACAUGCUUGGUUAUAGCAUGGAAGAUUGGAUUUCUAGCCAAUGAAAUGGCAGAAAUGUUGUCACACCAAAUCUGAGGGGGAAAAGGAAGAUCAAGACCAACAUCAACUAAUAGCUUGCAUAUCCAUGUCAGUUUAGCGGCAGCAGCAAUGUCAGCCAAUGAUCGAUAUUCAGCUUCGGUCGAUGACCGAGCCACAAUAGGUUGUUUCUUGGGACUCCAGCUUAUAAGUGAGUCACCCAAAUAGACACAAAACCCCCCCAGUAGAUCGGCGAUCAAGACUGCAACCGGCCCAAUCGGCAUCAGAGAAAGCAGUGAGAGUAAGAGGUUUAGCACAUUUUGGAAACCAUAAGCCAAGAGACAAAGUACCCUUUAGAUAUCGGAGAAUAUGUUUGACUGCCUGAAAGUGAGCUUGUCUCAGACUGUGCAUAAAUUGACAAACCAAAUUAACUGCACAAGACAGAUCUGGCCGUGUCCAUGUUAAGUAUUGCAAACCACCAACCAAAGAUCUAUAUUCCUCAGGUUUGUCAAGCAGAGAAGAGUUAUGAUCCAAUUUAGUUGUACUAAGAGGAGUGACACAAGGUUUGGAACCUUCCAUAUGUGCUUUGGAGAGAAGAUCGAGAAUAUACUUGUGUUGAGAGAGAAGGAUACCAGAGGAUGACCGCUUGACUUCAAUACCAAGGAAGUAAUGAAGAUGACCAAGAUCUUUGACAGGAAAUAAAGAACUGAGCUGAGAAAUAAUGUCUUUACAGAGUUGAGCAUUCGGUCCAGUAACAAUAAUAUCAUCAACAUAGACCAAAAUGAAAAUCAACGCAUGAGCCUUCUUGACAAAUAAAGAAUGAUCAUUUGACGAACCUGAGCAACCCAGAGACUUCAAUGUAGUGGUGAGCUUGUCAUACCAAGCCCUGGGGCUUGCUUGAGCUCAUACAAAGAUUUAUGGAGAUGACAAACAUGAUUUAGCUUGGUAGGGUCUUCAAAUCCUAGUGGUUGGAUCAUGAACACAGAUUUUGUCAAGGUACCAUGCAGAAAAGCAUUGCUAACAUCAAGUUGAUUGAGAAACUAAUCAAACUUGGCAGCCAAAGUGAGAAGUAACCUAAUAGUAACAGGCUUGGCAACUGGACUAAAUGUCUCAGUAUAAUCAAUGCCGUGCUGCUAAUGGAAGCCUUUGCCAACAAGCCGAGCUUUGUACCUAUCAAUGGUACCAUCGGGUUUUCUUUUGAUUCUAAACACCCAUUUUGCACCAACUAAGUUAUGAGUGGGAUUAGCAGGAACUAGAGACCAAGUGCUAGUUUGAAUGAGAGCAUUGAACUCUUUCUGCAUUGCUUGACGCCAAUGAUGAUGUUUGGAGGCUUGAAGAUAGAUAGAUGGGGUAUAAUCGGGAGAGAGAUCAGAAGAGAUGGGAUACUUGGUUGCCAAGAGUGCUUUAGGUUUAAAAAUACCCGAUUUGGAUCUGGUUUGCAUGGUAUGAGUAUUGAGAGGUAUUGAGGGUGCAGAAAGUUGAUAAGGGAGAGAGGGAAGAUGAGGGUUAGGUAUGGCAAUAGAAGAUGGGACAUGAAGAGAUUGGGAUGGAGAGGGUAAAUAUGGAGUUGGAGAUAAGAUAGGAGAUGAAGAGGGAGAAGGCUGAGAUAGAAGAGGAAAAGUCAAUGUGGUUAGAAUAGGAUUGGAUGGCUGUAAAUGAGAAGAACUAGAGCUUGAAUGUGAUGGCUGAGGAUGAUCCUUUUGAGCAAAAGGAAAUGUAUCUUCAUCAAAAAUAACAUGCCUCAAAAGAUACACUCUGCCAUUGGAAGGAUCAAGACAUUUAUAGCCUUUAUGGUUCAAACUGUACCCCAAAAAUACACAUUCCUUGCUUUUGGGAUCAAGCUUGGAAGUUGUAUAAGGUUUCAACCAUGGGAAACAUCGACAUCCAAAAAUUUUCAGUGAGAUGUAAUCUGGAGAUCUGUGAAAUAGUAGUUCCCAAGGUGAGAAGUUGGUGGUUGUUGGCAUCCGAUUAAUGAGAUAGAUAGUUGUGGCAAAAGCUUCAACCCAAUAGGAAUGAGGAACCUUGGAUGCUGCUAAGAGAGUUCGAGCAGUUUCAACUAAAUGUCUGUGCUUGUGCUCAGCACAACCAUUUUGCUCAAGUGUGUGAGGGCAGCUUAACUGAUGGGAAAUGCCAUGUUCUUGAAGAAACUUGAUAAACUUGAGACUAAGAAAUUCCCCACUAGAAUCAGAUCGUAAGAUAACAAUCUUAGUACUGAGUAAAGUUUCCACCAACACUUUGAAUUGCACAAAUGUAUCAAAGACAUCAGAUUUAAACUUGAGAGGAAAAAACCAAGUAUACUUGGUGUAGUCAUCAACAAAAAUGAGAUAAUAUCAAUAUCCAUUAACAGAAAUGAGUGGUACAGGACCCCAUACAUCAGUGUGCAGAAGCUCCAGAUGCCUAAUGGAUGUACAAGAAAUAGAAGCAAAAGACAAUUUGGAACUCUUGCCUAGAGCACAACUGGAACACACAGAUUUAUUUAAAGCACUGGAAACUGAAAGACAAGACUGAGAUGCUAGUUUAUUAGGUAUUUUGAGUGCAGGGUGACCCAAUCUGUGAUGCCAAGUCUGCUGUGAAGCUUUAGCAGAAGCUGCAAAUGCCUUUUGAUUACCAACAAUAGAGGAUGCAUGAAAUGGAUAGAAACCAGCUCUCACAGGACCUUUAAAAAGCGUUUUAUCCGAAGAAAGAUUCUUCACAAUGAAGUGAAAAUGAUACAAAUGAAUAGAACACCAAUUAUCAAGAAUAAACUGAUUUACGGAAAUCAAAUCUUGCUUAAGAUGAGGAACAUGCAAGACAUUUUUAAGAUCAAAACAAUGAGAACCAUUAUUAAGUGUAGAAGAACCAAAAUUGAGUAUAGGCAAACCUUUGCCACCACUUGCUCAAGUCCAGUGUAUGGCUCAAGAUUCUGCAAAUUUGUGGAGGAAUGAGUCAUGUGCGAGCUAGCACCAGAAUCAAGAAGCCAAGGAUGAGGGGUAGAGGCAUGAUAAGCAGCUGGAGAAUUCUUGUUACCAAAAUUGGGAUUCAUGCGCUGAGGACACUCAACAGCUUCAUGAUCGAAUAGGCGACAAAUUUGACAAGAGAUCUUUCUGUGAGAAUUGUUGUACUGAGAACGAGGACCACGAUUGUAACGAUGAUUACCCUGAUUACCGCGAUUAAAUCUUUGAUUGCCCUGAAAACCUUGAUAAUUCCGCUGGGAACCACGAUUGGUGUAAUUACGAGAUUGAGAGAAAUUGCCACGAUUCGGAAGACCAUAGGAUUGUGAAGAAGAUCCGUUCUGAGUAAAGAAUGCUUGAGCACCAAAAUCACCAAGAGGUGUAGGAAGAAGACCAGCAGAAGCAUUAAAAGCUUAAAUGGGAGCAGAUGGUGAGGUUUUCUUGCGAGCAGUCAGUUGAAGCUCCUUACUCAAAAGCAGCCUAUAAAGUUCAUUAAUAGUGGUUGAACCCAUGCGAAAUUGGAUUGCAUCAAUGAAAGACUCAUACUCAGAGGGCAAACCAUGUAAAAUUACAGAAAUCAACUCAAAAUCUUCGAUUGGGGCGCCUGCAUUUGCAAGAGCAUCUGCGAUUUCUUCAAUUUGUUGAAGAUAGAGCACAGCCGUAGAAUCACCCUUCGUGAUGCUACGAAGACAAGAACGAAGCUCAUGAAUGUGCGAUUGCGAUGUAGUUGCAAGUCGCGAUUCCAAUUUUGACCAGAGCUCACGAGCCGAAUUAACUCCAACAGUGUACGGAAUUAGGGCAUCUGAUAGGGUAGAAUUAAUCCAAAUCAAGAUAUUCUGAUCAUUUUCAAACCAAGUAACAUACUGAGGAUUGAGAGUAGAGGUUUGAUUACCCGAGGAGUCAAGAAGGUAUUUCGGCGGAGCAGACAUCGUGCCGUCAAUGAUUCCGGUGAGAUUGUACCGACGAAGGAUGGGAGCGAACAGAGCACUCCAGGUGAGAUAGUUCGUCGAUGGAGCUUGAUUGGCACCAUAGAUCCAAUAUUUUGGAUCGUAAUCGACGAUGUCGUCGAGGAGAGAGAAGAAUUAGGGCAAGAAGCAGAGCCAGAAGAAGGAGAUCCAGCCAUGGCGAUUGCUAGGUUUGGAAGAAUCGAAGAUAAGGAAGCGGGAGAUUUCUAGGGUUUGAAGAUUCGAAGAGGAAGAAGCGGGAAGCAGAGGAAGAGGAUCAACUGUCGUAGGACUUAGGCGAGUGAUACCAUAUUAGGAAAAUUAUCCUUUCAUUUCAUUACUUCAAUAAGAUUACACAAUGAUGUCUUAUAUACUAGCUACUCACCAGUAUUAGAUAACUAACUAAUCACACCUUCAUCAACUAAUCACUCACUAAUUACAAAACUACCAUAACAACCUUAACUGUUUACAGUUUUACCCUUAUUAGUUUCGGCUCUGAAUGCGCGAAAGUUUUCUGAAAUUUUGUGUUCACAAUAGUUUUUCUGAAUUGCAGAGUUGUCUAUGCAAUUGCAUUCUUGAUGCCAAACACAGUAGUACUUCCCCGUUUUGAGGAAAUUGUUGUAUGAUUAAAGUUUUGGUGUAUGUGCAGGAAGGGAUAAGGUUUUUGAAUACAUGGUUAGAAGGAGAAAGAUUGAUUGGUUUCUGUAAAUAUCUCGGAAAGAACACUCCAGAGCUUAAACCAGAUGAAAUUCCUCACUGUAUGAUGAUGAUUUUAUUCAAGAUUAAUUGCAAAGUUUGUAGUAAAACACAUAUAAUCGUUACAAUAGUUGAGUGAACUGCUUGUAUUGUUAUUGCAGCCUAGACCUGGCCAUUCUUUAUUAAUCUGCUGAUUCAGUGUGCUUCGUUGGAGAUAUCCUCCUCAAGCAAGCGGCGAUUGCCCAAGUUGAUAUAUGCAAAGACUCUACGGAUAGUUGUGCAACAAGCAGAGGAUGAUAAGUUUUCAGGUAUUAAAAACCGUCAGCAGAUUAAGCUUUGAAGUAGUGCAAGUAGUUACCUGGUUAAACAGUCUACAUCUAAUUAUGCUUAUGCUUGUUUUCAUCAAUCCUUCAUUUUGUUGUUUGAUUCGUAAGUACCACGCACACAUUAGUAAGGAUCUUUUAAUUUUAUGGUUCGAGGGCACAUGUGAAAGCUUUUAAAGGUACUGCAUGCCAUUUUAUAGUUGUAAUCGUCCCAUUAGCUUUAAUCAAACUAUUGUCUAUUCUGAUGUCUCUCUCUCUCUAUAUGCUUCUUUUAAUAUAAUUGCUCUUAAGGAACAAGUGCUAAUAAUUUGACAUGAGUACUAGGAUAUUACUCUGAGUUUUAUUCAAUCUAAACCUUGAAUGCUUCUCUUUAAUUGUUGUCAUACUAUCUUGGAGUCGUAUACUUGGUGUUGUUCUGAGUCUUGUAUAGAUCAUGUGCCAUAUUUUGUUGCGCGAUAUGUAUAUGUGUGUAUAUAUACACAUUAUUUGGGAGAAAAAAAAAAGAAGUGACAAAACCCUUGAAAUAUGUGGUUGUGUUGGAUGAACGCCCCAUCUUGUUUUCCUAAAAAACAGAUACAGGAAAUGUAAGAUGGGUAUCUAUGCAUGCUUCUGUAGGGAAUUUCUUCUGGACAGUUAGUUGACUCAGAUGUAAAAUAUUGCAAAUCUGGUCCAUAUUUAUGGGGUACUUUUUAGCACACUAUAUAAAUUGGUGAUGCUUUUAGUUUGUGCUCAUUGUUGUGCUGAUGGAAUGGAAUAUAUUGCAGAAUUUUGAAUGAUGCAAACAUGGUACAUUCUUAUGAUGGUCUGCUAUGGACACUGAGGUAUGCUGCACUAAUUAACCUUAAACACACUUUUUAUGUAAAUCUUGUUAAGUGUGUAGCCAGGUUGUGUAUAACCAUGUGACAUUGGUGUUCCGUUUGGCUUUGCCAUAAAUGGUGCUCCACUAAGUUUAAUAUACUUUAUCUGCACAAACAUCUACUAGUUAUUAAGAUAUGGAUGACACCAAUAGAUUCUCCCUCUACCUCUCUAAUCCCCUGCUUCUUAUGAGCUUAUAUUUAUAUAUUUACAUGCAUCUAAAGGAGCUUGCAGGAACUUUCUUCUGUGCUGUUGCUUCCAGAUCCAAAGCUGAAGAAACUGUCAGACUCGUCUCCCUCGAAUGAGGUGCUUGUUUUUUCUUUGUUUCUUUUGUUGUAAUUCUUUUGACGACAAUGUUUCUUUUUU
This 6788-nucleotide long non-coding RNA is filed under the name Malus domestica (apple). RNAcentral describes it as "long non-coding RNA (MDOM_LNC014287)". The record is from RNAcentral. Lineage: Eukaryota; Viridiplantae; Streptophyta; Magnoliopsida; Rosales; Rosaceae.